RNAcentral lists this ribosomal RNA (496 nucleotides) under uncultured bacterium. Its description in RNAcentral is "bacterial SSU rRNA". It matches the Rfam family "Bacterial small subunit ribosomal RNA", at positions 980 to 1475 of the family's 1533-position model. The record is from RNAcentral.
GAACAAAUCCAGCGAAGCCUUUAGAGAUAGAGGCGUGCCUUCGGGAGCGCUGAGACAGGUGCUGCAUGGCUGUCGUCAGCUCGUGUUGUGAAAUGUUGGGUUAAGUCCCGCAACGAGCGCAACCCUUAUCCUUGUUUGCCAGCACGUAAUGGUGGGAACUCCAGGGAGACUGCCGGUGAUAAACCGGAGGAAGGUGGGGACGACGUCAAGUCAUCAUGGCCCUUACGAGUAGGGCUACACACGUGCUACAAUGGCAGAUACAGAGGGCAGCGAGACAGCGAUGUUUAGCGAAUCCCUUAAAGUUUGUCGUAGUCCGGAUUGGAGUCUGCAACUCGACUCCAUGAAGUCGGAAUCGCUAGUAAUCGUGGAUCAGAAUGCCACGGUGAAUACGUUCCCGGGCCUUGUACACACCGCCCGUCACACCAUGGGAGUGGGCUGCACCAGAAGUAGAUAGCUUAACCUUCGGGAGGGCGUUUGCCACGGUGUGGUUCAUGAC